RNAcentral lists this unclassified non-coding RNA (400 nucleotides) under uncultured fungus. RNAcentral's name for it is "sequence contains ITS1". The stretch from base 1 to 107 matches the Rfam family "5.8S ribosomal RNA", at positions 49 to 154 of the family's 154-position model. The record is from RNAcentral. Lineage: Eukaryota; Fungi.
UGAAAUGCGAUAAUUAAUGUGAAUUGCAUUAUCUCGUGAAUCAUCGAGUCUUUGAACGCAUCUUGCACUUUUCAGGUCUCCUGGAAAGUAUACUUGUUUGAGUAUCAUAAACAUCUCUCAAAGUUUUUACUUUGGAAGUGAGACGUCAGGGAGCUUUGUCUCUUUGUGUCUUUUAAUUGAUAUGCGGCGCGUUUUCACAACAUGCACACAUUUGCGUGUGUGUGUGGUGUGAAUGCCCAACUACUACCAAAUGUGAGAUAAAUAUCGCACAAAGAACAGGAGUUGGGUCAAGCACUGCUACGCUCAGCGUCGUCAUCAUCAUCAUCAUCAGGGAGCUACUCUCUGAUGUGUGUGUGUGUGUGGCAUGCACCUUGAGUCAUUGAUCUCAAAUCAAGUAAGA